GGGUGAGUAACACGUGAGCAACCUACCUUUGACACGGGGAUAGCCUCGGGAAACCGUGAUUAAUACCCAAUAACAUCCCAUUUUCACAAGAAGAAGAGAUCAAAGAGAACUCGGUCAAAGAUGGGCUCGCGUCUGAUUAGCCAGUUGGUAGGGUAAAAGCCUACCAAAGCAACGAUCAGUAGCCGGCCUGAGAGGGUGAACGGCCACAUUGGAACUGAGAAACGGUCCAAACUCC
Molecule: ribosomal RNA, 235 nt
Filed under: uncultured Eubacteriales bacterium
Lineage: Bacteria; Bacillati; Bacillota; Clostridia; Eubacteriales
Description: uncultured Clostridiales bacterium partial 16S ribosomal RNA
Rfam family: Bacterial small subunit ribosomal RNA
Source: RNAcentral